AAAGGCGCGCGAUACAGGGUGACAGCCCCGUACACAAAAAUGCACAUAUUGUGAGCUCGAUGAGUAGGGCGGGACACGUGGUAUCCUGUCUGAAUAUGGGGGGACCAUCCUCCAAGGCUAAAUACUCCUGACUGACCGAUAGUGAACCAGUACCGUGAGGGAAAGGCGAAAAGAACCCCGGCGAGGGGAGUGAAAAAGAACCUGAAACCGUGUACGUACAAGCAGUGGGAGCCUCUUAAUGGGGUGACUGCGUACCUUUUGUAUAAUGGGUCAGCGACUUAUAUUCUGUAGCAAGGUUAACCGAAUAGGGGAGCCGAAGGGAAACCGAGUCUUAACUGGGCGUUAAGUUGCAGGGUAUAGACCCGAAACCCGGUGAUCUAGCCAUGGGCAGGUUGAAGGUUGGGUAACACUAACUGGAGGACCGAACCGACUAAUGUUGAAAAAUUAGCGGAUGACUUGUGGCUGGGGGUGAAAGGCCAAUCAAACCGGGAGAUAGCUGGUUCUCCCCGAAAGCUAUUUAGGUAGCGCCUCGUGAAUUCAUCUCCGGGGGUAGAGCACUGUUUCGGCAAGGGGGUCAUCCCGACUUACCAACCCGAUGCAAACUGCGAAUACCGGAGAAUGUUAUCACGGGAGACACACGGCGGGUGCUAACGUCCGUCGUGAAGAGGGAAACAACCCAGACCGCCAGCUAAGGUCCCAAAGUCAUGGUUAAGUGGGAAACGAUGUGGGAAGGCCCAGACAGCCAGGAUGUUGGCUUAGAAGCAGCCAUCAUUUAAAGAAAGCGUAAUAGCUCACUGGUCGAGUCGGCCUGCGCGGAAGAUGUAACGGGGCUAAACCAUGCACCGAAGCUGCGGCAGCGACACUAUGUGUUGUUGGGUAGGGGAGCG
This 887-nucleotide ribosomal RNA is filed under the name Escherichia coli. Its description in RNAcentral is "partial 23S ribosomal RNA". It matches the Rfam family "Bacterial large subunit ribosomal RNA", at positions 346 to 1238 of the family's 2925-position model. The record is from RNAcentral. Lineage: Bacteria; Pseudomonadati; Pseudomonadota; Gammaproteobacteria; Enterobacterales; Enterobacteriaceae.